UCCGGCUUAACGCCGGCGGUCUCCCUAGAGUGCCCAACUAAAUGGUGGCAACUAAGGAUAAGGGUUGCGCUCGUUAAGGGACUUAACCCGACAUCUCACGAUACGAGCUGACGACAGCCAUGCAGCACCUGUCUCGCAGUCUCCGAAGAGAAAGCCCUACUUCUAGGGAUGUCUGCGGAUGUCAAAUCCAGGUAAGGUUCUUCGCGUUGCAUCGAAUUAAACCACAUGCUCCACCGCUUGUGCGGGCCCCCGUCAAUUCCUUUGAGUUUUAACCUUGCGGCCGUACUUCCCAGGCGGGGUACUUAAUGCGUUGGCGUCGACACUGCAGGGGUCAAUUCCUGCAACAUCUAGUACCCAUCGUUUACAGCGUGGACUAC
Molecule: unclassified non-coding RNA, 377 nt
Filed under: uncultured Oligoflexales bacterium
Lineage: Bacteria; Pseudomonadati; Bdellovibrionota; Oligoflexia; Oligoflexales
Description: contains 16S-23S intergenic spacer region
Source: RNAcentral